AUGUCCUGGAUUUGCCCAUCCACGCAGAGCUCCGACCCCUCGGCGUGUUCUCCAUCCCAGCUCCCUGGAAUUCCCGCUGCAUUCCAGAGGCUCCCUGUGCUCCCCACACAUCCUGGGGUCCAUCCUGACGUGGAUCCCAUCCCUUUCUCCCCACAGCGAGGGCCUCCAGGAGAGCCCGGCCCACGGGGGCCCCCCGGUCCCUCAGGAGUGCCGGGAGCCGAUGGCAUCGACGGUGACAAAGGUCCCGCCGGAGCCCCGGGAUCCCCGGGUGUCAAGGGCGAGCCUGGAGCCCCUGGGCCGGAUGGACCUCCAGGGAAGCCGGGCAUUGAUGGCCUGACGGGAGCGAAAGGGGAGCCAGGACCUAUCGGCAGGCCAGGAGUUAAAGUGAGUGAGGGGCCGCCCCAACUCCCACAUUCCCAAAUUCCCACAUUCCCAAAUUUCCCACCUUCCCAAGAUCCCAUAUUCCAAAUUUCCCACCUUCCCAGAAUCCCACAUUCCAAAUUUCCCACCUUCCCAAGCUCCCAGAUUCCCAAUUUCCCACCUUCCCAAGCUCCCAGAUUCCAAAUUUCCCACAUUCCCAGGAUCCCACAUUCCCAAUUUCCCCACAUUCCCAGGC
This 616-nucleotide long non-coding RNA is filed under the name Cyanistes caeruleus (blue tit). RNAcentral's name for it is "lncRNA (ENSCCEG00000018767.1)". Lineage: Eukaryota; Metazoa; Chordata; Aves; Passeriformes; Paridae. The record is from RNAcentral.